GAUGAACGCUGGCGGCGUGCCUAAUACAUGCAAGUCGAGCGAACAGACGAGAGUGCUUGCACUCUCUGACGUUAGCGGCGGACGGGUGAGUAACACGUGGGUAACCUACCUAUAAGACUGGGAUACCUUCGGGAAACCGGAGCUAAUACCGGAUAAUAUUUAGCUUCGCAUGAGGCAAUAGUGAAAGACGGUUCUGCUGUCACUUCUAGAUGGACCCGCGGUGUAUUAGCUAGUUGGUGAGGUAACGGCUCACCAAGGCAACGAUACAUAGCCGACCUGAGAGGGUGAUCGGCCACACUGGGACUGAGACACGGCCCAGACUCCUACGGGAGGCAGCAGUAGGGAAUCUGCCGCAAUGGACGAAAGUCUGACGGAGCAAUGCCGCGUGAGUGAAGAAGGUGUUCGGAUCGUAAAACUCUGUUGUAAGGGAAGAACAAGUACGUUAGUAACUGAACGUACCUUGACGGUACCUUAUCAGAAAGCCACGGCUAACUACGUG
This 499-nucleotide ribosomal RNA is filed under the name uncultured bacterium. RNAcentral describes it as "partial 16S ribosomal RNA". It matches the Rfam family "Bacterial small subunit ribosomal RNA", at positions 28 to 507 of the family's 1533-position model. The record is from RNAcentral.